GAAUUACGAGCCCCUACUUAAAACCCAAAGGACUUGACGGUGUCCCACCCCACUAGAGGAGCCUGUUCUAUAAUCGAUUACCCCCGAUUUACCUUACCGCCUCUUGAACCCACAGUCUGUAUACCUCCGUCGCAAGCUUACCGUGUGAGCGCACCCAGUAAGCUAAAAGAUAUCUUACCCACACGUCAGGUCAAGGUGCAGCCCACGAAGCGGGAAGAAAUGGGCUACAAUUUCUAUGCUAGAACAAACGGAAAGCUGUAUGAAACACAGCUACUUGAAGGCGGAUUUAGUAGUAAAAAAAAAGUAGAGCGUUCUUUUUAACCAGGCACUGGGACGCGUACACACCGCCCGUCACCCUCUUCAAAUAAACCAAAAAGAUUUCUUAACAACACGCAAUAGCACAGAAGAGGCAAGUCGUAACACGGUAAGCGUACUGGAAAGUGCACUUGGAAUAAAAUGUAGCUUAAUAAAAGCAUCUUGCUUACACCAAGCCCAUGUCUGUGAAACCCCGACCAUUUUAAGCUUAACUCAUAGCCCCACCACUCCCACAUAAUCUCAAACACAAACAAAUUAACUAAAACAUUUUUACAACCAAGUAAAGGCGAUUAAAAAGUUUAUAGGAGCCUCAACAACAGUACCGUAAGGG
This 646-nucleotide ribosomal RNA is filed under the name Choerophryne proboscidea. RNAcentral describes it as "partial 12S ribosomal RNA". The stretch from base 1 to 462 matches the Rfam family "Bacterial small subunit ribosomal RNA", at positions 877 to 1533 of the family's 1533-position model. Lineage: Eukaryota; Metazoa; Chordata; Amphibia; Anura; Microhylidae. The record is from RNAcentral.